GUGGAUAACCUACCUAUAAGACUGGGAUAACUUCGGGAAAUCGGAGCUAAUACCGGAUAAUAUAUUGAACCGCAUGGUUCAAUAGUGAAAGACGGUUUUGCUGUCACUUAUAGAUGGAUCCGCGCCGCAUUAGCUAGUUGGUAAGGUAACGGCUUACCAAGGCAACGAUGCGUAGCCGACCUGAGAGGGUGAUCGGCCACACUGGAACUGAGACACGGUCCAG
Molecule: ribosomal RNA, 223 nt
Filed under: uncultured Staphylococcus sp.
Lineage: Bacteria; Bacillati; Bacillota; Bacilli; Caryophanales; Staphylococcaceae
Description: partial 16S ribosomal RNA
Rfam family: Bacterial small subunit ribosomal RNA
Source: RNAcentral